UGGGUAGAAUGAGGUACUAGGCCAAAGUU
RNAcentral lists this non-coding RNA (29 nucleotides) under Rattus norvegicus (Norway rat). Lineage: Eukaryota; Metazoa; Chordata; Mammalia; Rodentia; Muridae. The record is from RNAcentral.